MicroRNA precursor from Monodelphis domestica (gray short-tailed opossum), 73 nucleotides. NCBI's taxonomy places the organism in Eukaryota, Metazoa, Chordata, Mammalia, Didelphimorphia, Didelphidae. The record is from Ensembl.
AUGGGGGCAGGAUUGGUCAGGAGGUGGUGCUGACUAGGUGUGACCCCAACUCCGGCCUGUCUUGUCUCCUAGU